Long non-coding RNA from Pan troglodytes (chimpanzee), 1143 nucleotides. RefSeq lists it as uncharacterized. The record is from RefSeq and is a predicted model, not a curated record. NCBI's taxonomy places the organism in Eukaryota, Metazoa, Chordata, Mammalia, Primates, Hominidae. The transcript has 2 exons.
UUCUUGUUAUGAUCUGAGCUAUUUAGGGUGUUACCUCGUAACACCCCUAAAAUUCAUAUAUUGAAGUCCUAACCCCCAGUGCCUCAGAAUGUGACUGUAUUUGGAGAUAGCAUAUUUAAAGAGGUAAUUAAGUUAGAAUGAGGUUAUUAGGGUAGGCCCUAAUCUGACUGAUGUCCUUCUAAGAAGAGGAAAUUAGGACACAGAGACAGACACGUGGAAGAAAUGUCAUGUGAAGACAGUGAGAAGACAGCUGUCUAUAAACCAAGAAGAGAGGCUUCAGAAGAAACCCGCCCUGUGAACACUUUAAUCUCAGACUCCUAUUCUUCAGAAUUGUGAGAAAAUAAUUUUCAUUUAAGCUUCCCAGUCUGUGGUAUUUGUCAUGGCCACCCUAGAAAACUAACAUAGUCCUUAAAUAGAUUCAAUAAGUAGCCAGGAGUGGGGACCACUAAUCUAGUGGUUCUCAACCAUCAAGUCACUUGGAGGGUUUGUUAAAGCACACAUUAUUGGAUCCUACCCUCAAGGGGUCUGGCUCAAUAUAUAUCCUGGCCUGACAAUUUGCAUUUCUAUCAAGUUCCCAGUGAUGCUGACAUAGCUGGUUCUAGGACCAUAUUUGCAAAUCACUGCACCAAUUUCUGUGUUGUGGUUGGUUUUUGAGUCUCCAGCUUCACCUCUCAACUCCUGCCACUUUAUGGAACACCCUCAGUGCCCAGGGGUCUCUUGUCCUUGGUCCUGGUUCUCCCUGGGCUGCCUUGAGACUUUGCAGUGUGCCAAUAAGAGGAUGUAUAUGAGACCCUUACUCAUGUACUUUUCUCUUGUGAAGCUAAUCACACUGGACUUUUAAGUCCUUUCUUCCUGACAUUCAGUCUUUGACUCUGAAUUAGCUGAGGCAUGAGAAGUUCACCACAGGAAGGUCCUGCCCUUUGUUUGCUCCUAAAGGUUCCUUUAAAGUUCAACUUGACCAACACACCAUUGCAAGCACUCCAGAGGAGAAGACAGCCUUGCUGUGUCCAAUUCACUUUAGUUUGUAAAUUUCUUGUCAGUCACUUUUAUGGCCCCACUGAAUAGGACAGUGUGAAGCAUGGAUUAAGUAUGCAAUAAAUGGUUGUUGAAUAAAUCAGAAAAUUAAAUGCAUUCUGCACAGAA